UACGGAGGAUGCGAGCGUUAUCCGGAUUUAUUGGGUUUAAAGGGCGCGUAGGCGGUCCGUUAAGUCAGCGGUAAAAUUGCGGGGCUCAACCCCGUCGAGCCGUUGAAACUGUCAGACUUGAGUUGGCGAGAAGUACGCGGAAUGCGCGGUGUAGCGGUGAAAUGCAUAGAUAUCGCGCAGAACUCCGAUUGCGAAGGCAGCGUACCGGCGCCACACUGACGCUGAGGCACGAAAGCGUGGGGAUCGAACAGG
Molecule: ribosomal RNA, 252 nt
Filed under: uncultured bacterium
Lineage: Bacteria
Description: partial 16S ribosomal RNA
Rfam family: Bacterial small subunit ribosomal RNA
Source: RNAcentral